This 254-nucleotide ribosomal RNA is filed under the name Klebsiella pneumoniae. Its description in RNAcentral is "partial 23S ribosomal RNA". It matches the Rfam family "Bacterial large subunit ribosomal RNA", at positions 1184 to 1430 of the family's 2925-position model. The record is from RNAcentral. Lineage: Bacteria; Pseudomonadati; Pseudomonadota; Gammaproteobacteria; Enterobacterales; Enterobacteriaceae.
AAGCAUAUUACCGAAGCUAUGAAUUCUAACAUUAGUUAGUCUGGUAGGGGAGCAUUCCAGUCAGCGUUGAAGCAGAGUCGUAAGGCUUUGUGGAGCGUCUGGAAAAGCAAAUGUAGGCAUAAGUAACGAUAAUGCGGGCGAGAAACCCGCACACCGGAAGACUAAGGCUUCCUGAUCAACGCUAAUCGGAUCAGGGUUAGUCGGGACCUAAGGCAAACCCGCUGUAGUGGCGGGGUAGUCGAUGGACAACUGGU